GGGGAUGUAGCUCAGUUGGCUAGAGUGCUUGACUGGCAGUCAAGAGGUCGUGGGUUCGAGCCCCAUCUUCUCCA
Myroides odoratus DSM 2801 is the source of this 74-nucleotide non-coding RNA. The record is from Rfam. NCBI's taxonomy places the organism in Bacteria, Pseudomonadati, Bacteroidota, Flavobacteriia, Flavobacteriales, Flavobacteriaceae.